AUGCUCUGCUUCUUGAGCUUGCAGGUAACUAGAACUUGUGGAGCAGAGGAAAGUACCCGGAGUCACGUUCUCGUCAAACCAAUAGGAAGCAGUAAUCAUCCCUGUAAUGAAUAUGCACUCUUGGCGCGACAAAACCCCAAGGGAGAUGCGCCAUCAGUGGCAUCGAUUCUGCGGGAAAAGCAACCUCGGAGAUCACGUGAUGGGCCUAAUUCAGUCUAUGAAACGAUAAGGCGAUGGAAAGAAGUGAACCAACAACUGGAGCAUGAUCAAGAGGGUGCAGAGAGGGCGAGGAAGCCACCUGCAAAGGGUUCAAAGAAGGGUUGUAUGCAGGGGAAAGGAGGACCUGAGAAUACACAAUUUGGAUUCCGUGGUGUAAGGCAACGUACUUGCGGGGAAGCGGGUUGUUGA
Molecule: ribosomal RNA, 408 nt
Filed under: Triticum aestivum (bread wheat)
Lineage: Eukaryota; Viridiplantae; Streptophyta; Magnoliopsida; Poales; Poaceae
Description: partial small subunit ribosomal RNA
Source: RNAcentral